RNAcentral lists this ribosomal RNA (553 nucleotides) under uncultured Geobacteraceae bacterium. Its description in RNAcentral is "bacterial SSU rRNA". It matches the Rfam family "Bacterial small subunit ribosomal RNA", at positions 1 to 526 of the family's 1533-position model. The record is from RNAcentral. Lineage: Bacteria; Pseudomonadati; Thermodesulfobacteriota; Desulfuromonadia; Geobacterales; Geobacteraceae.
SCARKKCGCCCUUAGAGUUUGAUCCUGGCUCAGAACGAACGCUGGCGGCGUGCUUAACACAUGCAAGUCGAACGUGAUCCAGAGCUUGCUCUGGUGAAAGUGGCGCACGGGUGAGUAACGCGUGGAUAACCUGCCCUGGUAUCUGGGAUAACAUCUCGAAAGGGGUGCUAAUACCGGAUAAGCCUACGGGCUCUUCGGAGUCUGCAGGAAAAGGAGGCCUCUAUUUAUAAACUUCCGUAUCAUGAUGGGUCCGCGUACCAUUAGCUAGUUGGUGGGGUAAUGGCCUACCAAGGCGACGAUGGUUAGCUGGUCUGAGAGGAUGAUCAGCCACACUGGAACUGAGACACGGUCCAGACUCCUACGGGAGGCAGCAGUGGGGAAUUUUGCGCAAUGGGGGAAACCCUGACGCAGCAACGCCGCGUGAGUGAUGAAGGCUUUCGGGUCGUAAAGCUCUGUCAGAGGGGAAGAAAUGAAACGUGCUAAUAUCACGUUUUCUUGACGGUACCCUCAAAGGAAGCACCGGCUAACUCCGUGCCAGCAGCCGCGGUAAUAC